GCUCCAAAAGUUUUAUCGGUAGAGCAUCGGCUUCCCAAGCCGAGGGCCGCGGGUUCGAAUCCCGUCUUCCGCUCCA
This 76-nucleotide transfer RNA is filed under the name Desulfitobacterium hafniense. Its description in RNAcentral is "Pseudo". The stretch from base 9 to 65 matches the Rfam family "tRNA", at positions 9 to 63 of the family's 71-position model. From Rfam's summary of the family: Transfer RNA (tRNA) molecules are approximately 80 nucleotides in length. The record is from RNAcentral. Lineage: Bacteria; Bacillati; Bacillota; Clostridia; Eubacteriales; Desulfitobacteriaceae.